GUGGGGAAUUUUGGACAAUGGGGGCAACCCUGAUCCAGCCAUUCCGCGUGAGUGAAGAAGGCCUUCGGGUUGUAAAGCUCUUUCGGCAGGAACGAAACGGCUGUGGCUAAUACCCACGGCUAAUGACGGUACCUGAAGAAGAAGCACCGGCUAACUACGUGCCAGCAGCCGCGGUAAUACGUAGGGUGCGAGCGUUAAUCGGAAUUACUGGGCGUAAAGCGUGCGCAGGCGGUUGUGUAAGACAGAUGUGAAAUCCCCGGGCUUAACCUGGGAACUGCGUUUGUGACUGCACGACUGGAGUACGGCAGAGGGGGGUGGAAUUCCACGUGUAGCAGUGAAAUGCGUAGAGAUGUGGAGGAACACCGAUGGCGAAGGCAGCCCCCUGGGCUAGUACUGACGCUCAUGCACGAAAGCGUGGGGAGCAAACAGGAUUAGAUACCCGAGUAGUCC
This 450-nucleotide ribosomal RNA is filed under the name uncultured bacterium. RNAcentral's name for it is "bacterial SSU rRNA". It matches the Rfam family "Bacterial small subunit ribosomal RNA", at positions 354 to 796 of the family's 1533-position model. The record is from RNAcentral.